Molecule: long non-coding RNA, 896 nt
Organism: Beta vulgaris subsp. vulgaris (sugar beet)
Lineage: Eukaryota; Viridiplantae; Streptophyta; Magnoliopsida; Caryophyllales; Amaranthaceae
Exons: 2
Source: RefSeq, a predicted model, not a curated record
GCCCAUAAGGCCGUUGCAGAAAGGUCAGUAAUUGUUACUUGCCUUAUGCUAGCGGCUAUGGAACCAAGCCUUCAAAAGAGGUUUGCAAGCUUGGAUGCCUAUAGCAUUAUCCGACAGUUGAAAACCAUGUUUCAACAACAAGCUCGGAUAGAGAGGUAUGAAACUCACAAGGCUAUUCUUGAGUGUUCGUUAGUUGAAGGCAAGCCGGUCGCCACUCAUGUCUUCGAAAUGAUUGGUUAUUUCGAAGCCAUGGAGAGGUUGGGCUUUCCUUAUAGCCAAGAGUUGGCUACUGACAUCAUUCUGCACUCACUUCAUAAGGGGUUCAAUACGUUUCGAUUGAAUUUCAAUAUGAAUGGGGUGUCGAAAACCCUUGCUGAGUUACAUGGGAUGCUCAUGACUGCCGAGCAAAACAUCACUAUUGCACCUAAGAAGGAAGUUCUUAUGGUUCAAAAGGAAAAGGGUUUUAAGAAGGAAUGGGCUGGCAAGAAAAAGCAAGAUAAGGGCAAGCAAGUUGCCACUAAGACUGCUAUUAAGCCACAGGCAAAGGCAAAGCCAAAGGUGGCCGCAAAUGCCAAGUGCUUCUAUUGUGAUCAAAUAGGUCAUUGGAAGCGUAACUGCCCAAGUACUUGAAGGAUAAGAAGUCUGGGGCUUCUUCUUCAGGGACUAAGAAGGAGUAGAACCUUGGCUAAAGGAGAGGUGGAACUGCGAGUUGGAAAUGGUGCAAGAGUUGCCGCCGUUGCAGUUGGGACUUAUAGUCUACCUUUGCCUUCUGGAUUAAUAUUAGAGCUUAAUAAUUGUUAUUACGUUCCUGCUAUUACCAAAAACAUUAUUUCUAUUCCUGUUUUGGAUAAUGAAGGGUUUUCAUUUACAAUUGAGAAAGGUUGUUUCUCUGUUUA